Molecule: long non-coding RNA, 772 nt
Organism: Manacus vitellinus (golden-collared manakin)
Lineage: Eukaryota; Metazoa; Chordata; Aves; Passeriformes; Pipridae
Exons: 4
Source: RefSeq, a predicted model, not a curated record
AAAAAAUAACAGGAUGUUUUCUGGUUCCUACUGCUUCAGUGCUGCUGUCCAAACACAGAUAGCUCUGUUCUUGGAGGAGCUCUGGGCUCCAGCAAGAGAUACUCGCUACUUAUGCUAGACAUCUGCUGUCCUCAAAGAACUGCUUAAAUCCUGGGUGUGGAAAUCAGAGAAAUGUCCAGCUCCUGCUUCACCAUGGCCAAGUGUAAGAACUCGGUGAGCUCAUUGUGGAACUCCACACAGCUCUUUUUAGAGGGGUCAAGUUCAGAGCAAGAAAUCCUGCUACACUUAUACAAGUAAUGGAUCAAAGUCAGACUAAUAGACCAAGGUCAGAAGUGAUUUCCUGAACCUCUGUCCUCACUCAUCCCUCUUCCUAAAUGCAGGCUUGGCUGGCAGAAGCAGUGGCCAUGAACCAUUCAGAUGAGGAUUUGAGUUCUAAGAAGAUAGAGCAUCUCUAACUUUCAUCACUGUACUGAGGAUUUUUCCUUAUGCAUAGAAAAGGCAACGUCAUUUAUCCUUGACUGAGAAUCACCGGUACAUUUCAACAAUGGAAUUAGCUAUUCACUGCAUUACAAUGACUUGCUUUCUGUAAUUUGCCAUUAAUAUGCUUCUACCUGAACAGUGCAAAAUGUGAAUUAAAUUGCCACAGGGAAAAAUAAUGAACCUGUUCUUUGAUUUAAUCUAAAAGCGGACAGUUAUAGUCUCUUUCCUCAUAAUAAUGUUCUUCCCUCUCUUCUCAAAAAUUUUACUUUAACUUGUCUAGGUUUUCUUUUCA